AUGGAGCGGCGGCCAGAGCUGCGGCGGUCGAUGACGCUCUCGGAGCAGCUGUCCAGGCCCGACCCGGCCAUCCGCGAGUUCCUCAAGAUCCCCGACGACAACAGCCACCUGAGCGCUGACGCUGGAGGAGGUGGAGGCAGCGGCGGCACGAUCAACUGGAAGCCGCUGCGCGACCGUCUCCGGCUCCGGCGCUCCGUGAACGCCUGGUCCAGCCCGUCGGAGAGGCCCAGCACGGCGGACGGCGCCGGUAGCCUGAAGAACAGCGGCAGCGGCAGCAACCGCAGCCACAAGUACAUCUACGCGCAAGGUGAGGCCACGGCGGCCUUCUGCCGCACCUCCUCGCUCCGCCAGACUCCCGCAUUCUCGCGCGCGGCCUCCACUCGUGUGGGUUCCAACGCCACGAUCGGGCGCUCUCCCCCCGUGGUCGGCGACGAGGGCUCCGAGGACGAGUCAGAUCAGGACGAGGACGAGGAGGAAGGCAAGGAGGAGGAGGAGGCGCCGACGGCGCAGAUGUCCCUGAUGGCGCUGCUGGAGCAGACGGACAGCUGGGACGAGGAGGAGGAGGAGGAGCAGGCCGCGGCAGGCGCCGGGGCCAGCAGCAAGAACGCGCACGCCGAGGAGGAGGAGGAGGACGGCGAGGGGCGCGAGGAGGAGAUGGUGCACGUGUGCUGCGUGUGCAUGGUGCGGCACAAGGGCGCGGCCUUCAUCCCGUGCGGCCACACAUUCUGCCGCCUGUGCUCCCGCGAGCUCUGGGUCAGCCGCGGCAACUGCCCGCUCUGCAACGGCUUCAUCCAGGAGAUCCUCGACAUCUUCUGA
RNAcentral lists this ribosomal RNA (816 nucleotides) under Triticum aestivum (bread wheat). RNAcentral's name for it is "partial small subunit ribosomal RNA". The record is from RNAcentral. Lineage: Eukaryota; Viridiplantae; Streptophyta; Magnoliopsida; Poales; Poaceae.